This 72-nucleotide transfer RNA is filed under the name Bacillus safensis. RNAcentral describes it as "tRNA-Met". It matches the Rfam family "tRNA". From Rfam's summary of the family: Transfer RNA (tRNA) molecules are approximately 80 nucleotides in length. Their secondary structure includes four short double-helical elements and three loops (D, anti-codon, and T loops). The record is from RNAcentral. Lineage: Bacteria; Bacillati; Bacillota; Bacilli; Caryophanales; Bacillaceae.
GCGGGGUGGAGCAGUUCGGUAGCUCGUCGGGCUCAUAACCCGAAGGUCGCAGGUUCAAAUCCUGCCCCCGCA